AGAGUUUGAUCCUGGCUCAAGAUUGACGCCUGGCGGGCAUCUUUUCACCAUCCAAGUCGAACGGUACCAGGCCUUCGGGCGCUGACGAGUGCGGAACGGGUGAGUAAUGCAUCGGAACGUGCCCAGUCGUGGGGAUACCGCAGCGAAAACUGUGCUAAUCCGCAUACGAUCUGUGGAUGAAGCGGGGGCCGUAAGGCCUCGCGCGAUUGGAGCGGCCGAUGUCAGAUUAGGUAGUUGGUGGGUAAAGGCCCCCCAAGCCAACGAUCUGUAGCUGGUCUGAGAGGACGACCAGCCACACUGGGACUGAGACACGGCCCAGACUCCUACGGGAGGCAGCAGUGGGGAAUUUUGGACAAUGGGCGCAAGCCUGAUCCAGCAAUGCCGCGUGCAGGAAGAAGGCCUUCGGGUUGUAAACUGCUUUUGUACGGAGCGAAAAGGCUCUCUCUAAUACAGGGGGCUGAUGACGGUACCGUAAGAAUAAGCACCGGCUAACUACGUGCCAGCAGCCGCGGUAAUACGUAGGGUGCAAGCGUUAAUCGGAAUUACUGGGCGUAAAGCGUGCGCAGGCGGUUUUGUAAGACAGGCGUGAAAUCCCCGGGCUCAACCUGGGAAUGGCGCUUGUGACUGCAAAGCUGGAGUGCGGCAGAGGGGGAUGGAAUUCCGCGUGUAGCAGUGAAAUGCGCAGAUAUGCGGAGGAACACCGAUGGCGAAGGCAAUCCCCUGGGCCUGCACUGACGCUCAUGCACGAAAGCGUGGGGAGCAAACAGGAUUAGAUACCCUGGUAGUCCACGCCCUAAACGAUGUCAACUGGUUGUUGGGUCUUAACUGACUCAGUAACGAAGCUAACGCGUGAAGUUGACCGCCUGGGGAGUACGGCCGCAAGGUUGAAACGGCAAAGGAAUUGACGGG
RNAcentral lists this ribosomal RNA (909 nucleotides) under uncultured bacterium. RNAcentral describes it as "bacterial SSU rRNA". It matches the Rfam family "Bacterial small subunit ribosomal RNA", at positions 8 to 917 of the family's 1533-position model. The record is from RNAcentral.